Molecule: unclassified non-coding RNA, 3743 nt
Filed under: Hevea brasiliensis (rubber tree)
Lineage: Eukaryota; Viridiplantae; Streptophyta; Magnoliopsida; Malpighiales; Euphorbiaceae
Source: RNAcentral
CUCGUUUGUUGCGCACGCGAAGCGUAAACACGAGCACCUAAAAACCGCCGUACCCCGUGAGCAAACGGCACUUGGAGGAAACAUCCUCCACCGGCCCGGGGGGGAAAAGUAUCAAACAACGGGGAUAUAGAAAAGAACCUGAAAAGCGCCAAACAAAAACAGCCGGCUUUACGGUGAAAAAACGAAAAAUUGACGGAAGCAGCAAACGGGCCGUUCCACUCGACGUCUCCGUGCCUCACCUCCUAAUAAAAUUACUCUUCUUCAAGUCUUGAUAACGACAUGCUCCUCGUUCUCGUUACUCGAAAGCAACAGCUGCAACUGCAGCUGCGUCCCUCAGCUCCCGUAGCUGUUAGUUACGAAUAUUCUAUUCCAUUCUAGAGAGAGAAAAAAACGAAAGAGUUAUAUUUCAUAACAGACGUCUAGACAGAGAAAAAGCACGAAGCAUCAAUAGCCAAAGAAAAAAAAAAUAGAACCUCCGUAAUCUCAAAGCAAUUUCAUUUUACACAGAGAGAGAGACAGAAGACAAACAUACAUUUUUGUAUAUAUGUAUGUAUAGAAACAGAAUUUCAGAAUCCUAAAUCGUCGUGAAUGCGAAAUUUUUCUUUGAAAAGAUUUGACUUGAAUUGCAGUUAUAUUGAAUUUUAAACGAGAAUGCAAGGGGAGGCGAUUUCGAUUCAGGAGAAUGAGAGGGCUAAAAGUGUGGAUGUGGAGACUUCCGAGGAAGAGAAACGAAGAACUAGCGGCAGAUCUCUGAAGAAAAAGGCAAUGAGUGCAUCUACGAGGCUCACUCAUAGCCUCAAGAAGCGUAGGAAGCGGGUGGCCGAUUGCCGAUAUGCCGCGAUUUCGAUUAAUGAUGUUCGAGACGCGAAUGAGGAAGCGGCUGUGAACGCGUUUCGCCAGGAAUUGAUUGCAAAAGACCUGCUACCUCCUCGCUAUGACGAUUACCACACUUUAUUGAGGUUUCUAAAGGCUCGAAAGUUUGACCUUGAUAAAACUCUCUUGAUGUGGUCAGAAAUGCUUACCUGGAGGAAAGAGCAGGGAAUAGAUUCUAUCGUACAGGAUUUUAUAUAUGAUGAAUAUGAAGAAGUUCAGCGAUAUUAUCCUCAUGGUUAUCAUGGUGUAGACAAAGAGGGCCGACCUGUUUAUAUAGAAAGACUUGGCAAAAUUGAACCUAGCAAGCUAAUGAGUGUCACCACAGUGGAUCGGUUUUUAAAAUAUCAUGUUCAGGGAUUUGAGAAGACUUUUGCUGAGAAAUUUCCUGCAUGUUCUAUUGCAGCUAAGAGGCAUAUAGAUUCUACAAUAACAAUAUUGGAUGUGCAUGGCCUGAACUGGAUGAGUUUUGGAAAGGUUGCACAUGAUCUAGUUAUGCGUAUGCAGAAAAUUGAUGGUGACAACUAUCCUGAGGUGGUUUAAUUAUUAAAAUGAAACUAAAUAGAAAGAUUGCCCGAGUUACUGGUGUAUUCAUUUGGUGAUCACUUAUGAAUCUGCUCCUUCUUAACAGACAUUACAUCAGAUGUUCAUUGUAAAUGCUGGUAGUGGAUUCAAACUGCUAUGGAACACAGCAAAAGGUUUUCUUGAUCCAAAGACUACUGGAAAGAUAAAUGUACAAGGCAUUUGGUAUUUAUUUCUUUUGCUGUACAAAAUGAUCUGAACUUAUACUGAAUCAUUCUGAUCUGAUGCCAUAGGUUUUAGGCAAUAAAUUCCAAAAUAAGUUGUUAGAAGUUAUAGACCCAAGGUUGGUAUUUUUCUUUUACUGUUAGUGCAACAUCAAAUAUUUAAUUACAGCUGGAAAGUUUUCCAACUCAUGUUACAAACUUCUUUUUGCAUUUUCUUGCAAAACAGCCAAUUGCCAGAAUUCCUUGGUGGAUCUUGUUCAUGUCCAAAUGAAGGUGGUUGUCUUAGAUCUAACAAGGGGCCCUGGAAUGAUCCAGAAAUAAUGAAACUGGUACAUGCUGGAGAAGCAAUGAUCUUGAGGAAAAUGAAGAGUUUUUCUGAUGACGAUGAUUUUGAAAUCAGGCCAUUUCCCUCUAAGGUUUCUAGAAGUGAAAUAUCUUCUUCUAAUUUAGGCUUAGAUAUAAAGCCAAAUACAUCAAGCUUCAUUCAACAAAUGCCACUUUCUGAGAAAGGAAGAAGGAUGGGUGAUCCUGCUUCUGUCUGCAACCUGAUUGAACACAUUCCAGCAAGAGUUGAAGUAUCUAGUUCAACAAAUGAUUCAGCCAAUGGUUUCAGCACAACAAUAGUGCAGAAGAAGUUCAUUCCUCAUAUAACAAGUUUUGUAGUUCACUUCAUGCUCAAAUUGUUAGCAUGGAUAUAUCUUCUUGUGCCAGCAGUGGGGAGAAUUUUUUCAGUCCGACGUGCAGACAGACAAUUACCUAACCAACACAACCUACCAGUGGCAGAUUCAAGUUCUCAAGAGCAACACAUCUCACGGGAAAUAAAAGAGGACUCACUCCAGCCAUGCUGGCAGAGGUUGCAACAUUUAGAAACAAUGGUAAAUGAGCUGGUUAGCAAACCUACCAAAAUUCCUCCUGAGAAAGAGGACAUGCUUCUUGAAUCUUUGAGUCGGAUUAAAUCUAUAGAACAUGAUCUGCAGAAGACAAAGAAAGCUCUGCUUGCAACUGCAUCAAAACAGAUGGAGCUUGCCGAGUCACUGGAAAAUCUUAAAGAGAGCACCUUAGCUGUAAGUUCCUAAAAUUCGUUUUAGGUGGGCUGUUCAUUCAACAUAAGCUGGAAUUUAGCAUUCUUUACAAAUGUUGGAAGAUGCAGCAGGGAAUUUAAAUUUCAGGUUUUGGGGUGUUCAGCAGCUGAGAAUAAAUAAGUGUGGGAAAAAUAAGCAUGUGCUAUAGCAAUAAAAGCCUGCACAUAGUUUUAGCAAAGUCAUAUAUGCAUCAAUUCAUAAUUUUGGCUCCCAACUCCCAAAAAUAAAAAUAAGUGAGAAACAUAUCCAAGUUAAAUGUCAAAAAAGGAAAACCCCUUUGACAGAAAUAAGGGAAUUAUAGAAAAAAAAUAAAAAGGACUAAGAAUUUGUAUACACUGGCCUAGCCUCAUUAUCCUUGCGUCGCAUUGGAUAAAUUUCCAGAAUUUCGUAUCACGGGUAUACUAGAUUGUUGACAUACAAGAUGUAAAAUUGUUUUGGUAGUUUAAUUGCAUCAAGAAUGCAAUCUAUACUUUUGAUUUAGUUUAACAGUCGCCCACAUGUAAUUCUUAUGAGUUAUGCCUGGAGAAGUUUCUGGAUAUCUUCCAUUAAGUCAUACAGAAUGCAUUUAUUAUUAGAUUGGUUGCUUACCAUAUAAGACAAUAUGUGAAUGCGGAUUAUUCAUGACUUUGUCAAUUGCAGGGAGUGAAUUCAUGUUGGCCAAGAAAUUGCAAAACUUUUUCCCCAGAAAGAUGAGAUGUAUUUCUUUCAAAACAAGUUUGUUGAUGUUGUUAUUGCGCAAUGUCUGUGUGUGAUUCUUAAGAAUUCAGUCAUUAACCAGAUGCAAAUUAGUUCAGCAAAUUCAAAGAGAUUAGCCAUUCUAGGUAUCACUUUCAUUUGUUGCUGGAUCAUUCAUUCCACCAUUUCACCCUAAGAAGCAUGAAGUAAUUUCUUUUUCUUUUUCCCUCAGGUUCUUACCUUGCAGAGAAUGUCUCACUCUUCACCUGGCCAUGGAUUUCACGAUGUUUCAGAUAAGCAUCGCAGUGAGCAUGACACACCUGUAUGGUAUUCCUCGUGAUUCUGUACAUAGCAAAGAUCAUUUGGUUCC